UACGGGGGGGGCAAGCGUUGUUCGGAAUUACUGGGCGUAAAGGGCUCGUAGGCGGCCAACUAAGUCCGACGUGAAAUCCCCAGGCUUAACCUGGGAACUGCGUCUGAUACUGGAUGGCUUGAGUUUGGGAGAGGGAUGCGGAAUUCCAGGUGUAGCGGUGAAAUGCGUAGAUAUCUGGAGGAACACCGGUGGCGAAGGCGGCAUCCUGGACCAAUACUGACACUGAAAAGCGAAAGCCAGGGGAGCAAACGGG
RNAcentral lists this ribosomal RNA (253 nucleotides) under uncultured bacterium. Its description in RNAcentral is "partial 16S ribosomal RNA". It matches the Rfam family "Bacterial small subunit ribosomal RNA", at positions 524 to 776 of the family's 1533-position model. The record is from RNAcentral.